GGGCUCGAAGUUUAGCUGGUUGAACACCUCAUUUGCAAUGAGGAGGUAGAGGGUUCGAUCCCCUCCGAGUCCACCG
RNAcentral lists this transfer RNA (76 nucleotides) under Candidatus Woesebacteria bacterium CG07_land_8_20_14_0_80_44_9. Its description in RNAcentral is "tRNA-Ala". It matches the Rfam family "tRNA". From Rfam's summary of the family: Transfer RNA (tRNA) molecules are approximately 80 nucleotides in length. Their secondary structure includes four short double-helical elements and three loops (D, anti-codon, and T loops). Further hydrogen bonds mediate the characteristic L-shaped molecular structure. tRNAs have two regions of fundamental functional importance: the anti-codon, which is responsible for specific mRNA codon recognition, and the 3' end, to which the tRNAs corresponding amino acid is attached (by aminoacyl-tRNA synthetases). tRNAs cope with the degeneracy of the genetic code in two manners: having more than one tRNA (with a specific anti-codon) for a particular amino acid; and 'wobble' base-pairing, i.e. permitting non-standard base-pairing at the 3rd anti-codon position. Lineage: Bacteria; Candidatus Woeseibacteriota. The record is from RNAcentral.